UCGCUUCAGCAGCGUAUAUACUAAAAUUGGAACAGUACAGAGAAGAUUAGCAUGGCCCCUGUGCAAGGAUAACAUGCAAAUUUGUGAAGCAUUCCAUAUUUUA
Small nuclear RNA from Phyllostomus discolor (pale spear-nosed bat), 103 nucleotides. The record is from RefSeq and is a predicted model, not a curated record. Lineage: Eukaryota; Metazoa; Chordata; Mammalia; Chiroptera; Phyllostomidae.